RNAcentral lists this ribosomal RNA (500 nucleotides) under uncultured Oscillibacter sp. RNAcentral describes it as "bacterial SSU rRNA". It matches the Rfam family "Bacterial small subunit ribosomal RNA", at positions 18 to 507 of the family's 1533-position model. The record is from RNAcentral. Lineage: Bacteria; Bacillati; Bacillota; Clostridia; Eubacteriales; Oscillospiraceae.
CCUGGCGUCAGGAUGAACGCUGGCGGCGUGCUUAACACAUGCAAGUCGAACGGAGUGCCCUUCGAAGGAGUUUUACGGUACGAACUGAAAGGACGUACUUAGUGGCGGACGGGUGAGUAACGCGUGAGUAACCUGCCUUGGAGUGGGGAAGUAACAGUUGGAAACAGCUGCUAAUACCGCAUAAUAUGUCUGUGUCGCAUGGCACUGGACAUCAAAGAUUUAUCGCUCUGAGAUGGACUCGCGUCUGAUUAGCUGGUUGGCGGGGUAACGGCCCACCAAGGCGACGAUCAGUAGCCGGACUGAGAGGUUGGCCGGCCACAUUGGGACUGAGACACGGCCCAGACUCCUACGGGAGGCAGCAGUGGGGAAUAUUGGGCAAUGGGCGCAAGCCUGACCCAGCAACGCCGCGUGAAGGAAGAAGGCUUUCGGGUUGUAAACUUCUUUUCUCAGGGACGAAGAAAGUGACGGUACCCGAGGAAUAAGCCACGGCUAACUACGUG